UAGGGAAUCUUCCGCAAUGGGCGAAAGCCUGACGGAGCAACGCCGCGUGAGUGAUGAAGGUCUUCGGAUCGUAAAACUCUGUUAUCAGGGAAGAACAAAUGUGUAAGUAAUUAUGCACGUCUUGACGGUACCUAAUCAGAAAUCCACGGCUAACUACGUGCCAGCAGCCGCGGUAAUACGUAGGUGGCAAGCGUUAUCCGGAAUUAUUGGGCGUAAAGCGCUCGUAGGCGGUUUUUUAAGUCUGAUGUGAACGCCCACGGCUCAACCGUGAAGAGUCAUUGGAAUCUGGAAAACUUGAGUGCAGAAGAGGAAAGUGGAAUUCCAUGUGUAGCGGUGGACUGCGCAGAGAUAUGGAGGACCAACAGUGGCGAAGGAGUCUUUCUGGUCUGUAACUGACGCUAAUGUGCGAAAGCGUGAGGAUCAAACAGG
RNAcentral lists this ribosomal RNA (429 nucleotides) under Actinomycetes bacterium. RNAcentral's name for it is "Actinobacteria bacterium partial 16S ribosomal RNA". It matches the Rfam family "Bacterial small subunit ribosomal RNA", at positions 355 to 776 of the family's 1533-position model. The record is from RNAcentral. Lineage: Bacteria; Bacillati; Actinomycetota; Actinomycetes.